UACGAAGGGGGCUAGCGUUGUUCGGAAUUACUGGGCGUAAAGCGCACGUAGGCGGAUGAUUAAGUCAGGGGUGAAAUCCCGAGGCUCAACCUCGGAACUGCCCUUGAUACUGGCCAUCUCGAGUCCGGAAGAGGUUAGUGGAAUUCCCAGUGUAGAGGUGAAAUUCGUAGAUAUUGGGAAGAACACCAGUGGCGAAGGCGGCUAACUGGUCCGGUACUGACGCUGAGGAGCGAAAGCUAGGGGAGCAAACGGG
RNAcentral lists this ribosomal RNA (253 nucleotides) under uncultured bacterium. RNAcentral's name for it is "partial 16S ribosomal RNA". It matches the Rfam family "Bacterial small subunit ribosomal RNA", at positions 524 to 776 of the family's 1533-position model. The record is from RNAcentral.